Molecule: ribosomal RNA, 255 nt
Filed under: uncultured bacterium
Lineage: Bacteria
Description: partial 16S ribosomal RNA
Rfam family: Bacterial small subunit ribosomal RNA
Source: RNAcentral
UACGUAGGAGGCAAGCGUUGUCCGGAAUUACUGGGCGUAAAGCGCGUGUAGGUGGUGGGACAAGUCUGCUGUGAAAGCGCCUGGCUUAACCGGGCGAGGUCGGCGGAAACUGUCGCACUCGAGGACGGUAGAGGGGGGUGGAAUUCCCGGUGUAGGUGGUGAAAUGCGUAGAGAUCGGGAGGAACACCUGUGGCGAAGGCGGCCCCCUGGGCCGGCCCUGACACUGAGACGCGAAGGCGUGGGGAGCGAACGGGG